Molecule: ribosomal RNA, 397 nt
Filed under: uncultured bacterium
Lineage: Bacteria
Description: partial 16S ribosomal RNA
Rfam family: Bacterial small subunit ribosomal RNA
Source: RNAcentral
AUACGUAGGGGGCGAGCGUUGUCCGGAAUGAUUGGGCGUAAAGGGCGCGUAGGCGGCCCGGUAAGUCUGGAGUGAAAGUCCUGUUUUUAAGAUGGGAAUUGCUUUGGAUACUGUCGGGCUUGAGUGCAGGAGAGGUAAGUGGAAUUCCCAGUGUAGCGGUGAAAUGCGUAGAGAUUGGGAGGAACACCAGUGGCGAAGGCGACUUACUGGACUGUAACUGACGCUGAGGCGCGAAAGUGUGGGGAGCAAACAGGAUUAGAUACCCUGGUAGUCCACACUGUAAACGAUGAAUGCUAGGUGUAGGGGGUAUCGACCCCUUCUGUGCCGCAGUCAACACAAUAAGCAUUCCGCCUGGGGAGUACGGUCGCAAGGUUGAAACUCAAAGGAAUUGACGGGG